This 257-nucleotide ribosomal RNA is filed under the name uncultured bacterium. Its description in RNAcentral is "partial 16S ribosomal RNA". It matches the Rfam family "Bacterial small subunit ribosomal RNA", at positions 96 to 349 of the family's 1533-position model. The record is from RNAcentral.
UGGCGGACGGGUGAGUAAUGUCUGGGAAACUGCCUGAUGGAGGGGGAUAACUACUGGAAACGGUAGCUAAUACCGCAUAACGUCGCAAGACCAAAGAGGGGGACCCUCGGGCCUCUUGCCAUCGGAUGUGCCCAGAUGGGAUUAGCUUGUUGGUGGGGUAACGGCUCACCAAGGCGACGAUCCCUAGCUGGUCUGAGAGGAUGACCAGCCACACUGGAACUGAGACACGGUCCAGACUCCUACGGGAGGCCAGCAUG